This 215-nucleotide ribosomal RNA is filed under the name uncultured bacterium. RNAcentral describes it as "partial 16S ribosomal RNA". It matches the Rfam family "Bacterial small subunit ribosomal RNA", at positions 335 to 541 of the family's 1533-position model. The record is from RNAcentral.
ACUCCUACGGGAGGCAGCAGUGAGGAAUAUUGCGCAAUGGGGGCAACCCUGACGCAGCGACGCCGCGUGGAUGAUGAAGGCCUUCGGGUCGUAAAAUCCUGUCAGAUGGAAAGAAGUGCAUAUGUGCUAAUACCAUGUAUGUUUGACGGUACCAUCGAAGGAAGCACCGGCUAACUCCGUGCCAGCAGCCGCGGUAAUACGGAGGGUGCAAGCGU